Non-coding RNA from Poecilia latipinna (sailfin molly), 565 nucleotides. NCBI's taxonomy places the organism in Eukaryota, Metazoa, Chordata, Actinopteri, Cyprinodontiformes, Poeciliidae. The record is from the annotation of a RefSeq genome assembly.
ACUCUCCAACAUUCACUCUGCUCAACAUGCUGUCUCUGCUCAUCGCCUCUCUGCUAACAGGAGUCAGAUGCCAACAACUCACUGCGCUUCAGAAUGAAGAGUUUGCUGUAGAAAACAGCAACGUUACUCUGUCCUACAGUUACUCCAAACCAGCAGUUGGAACUGAUUAUUUCUUCUGGUAUCGACAAUAUCCUGGAAAACCUCCAGAGUUCCUGAUCUCCCACACAGGAAAUGGAGCUCCAAUGUCAGCGCUGCUUCAUGGUUUCUCCUUCAACGUGAGUGAAGAUAAAACCCGGAUGGAUCUGCUGAUCUCCUCUGCUGCAGUGACAGACUCUGCUGUGUACUACUGCGCUGUGAGGCCCACAGUGACAGGAAACACCAGAACCCUGUGCAAAAACCUGCAGUACUCCACAGCGGCCACUAGAGGGCCUCACUCCCUGUUAAUCACUGGUUGAGUAUUUGAACUGAAAACAAAGAGAUGAGACAUUGUGACUGAGUUUCGUCUCAACCAUCACCAUUAUCUGCUUUAGAUCAUGGAAACAGGACAGGAUGAAAACAAAAACAA